ACAUUUACUACUUGGCCCUUGACUAAUGUACAAAACGCCUUUCCUCCCCCGGAGCUAGUUAUAAUCAUAUACCAUCACUGCAGCUGUAAUAUUAAUGAAAUACCCUUUGCAGUACUUAUGCAGUCUCUUACUAACAAGCCACUUGCCAUUAGUGAAACUGGACAUGCUCAGUCAGACCUCUCAGAUGUGCAGGAGUAUUGCGUUUCUCUGAGAGAUGGCUGACCUCCACCUUCUCUCAGUCUCAAUGCGUUAGAAAUAUUAACCAGGAGCUUUCUGACAACCCCCACAUCUCUAGAUAACCCAGAUUUCUAUAUUUUGUAGUAAGCAAAUCAAGAAAAAGAAACGUAGAAAGUAAUCCUUCAAGCAAAAAUGGACCUGGAGACAUCUCGUGCACAGGUUUACUGUUUCUCAGGGUCCCAGCUUUGGUUCCCCCUUUACCCCUGCCCUCUUCUUCAACAUACCGACUCAAAGAAGAGAAAGAUUAUGAAAAAAGAUUAAAGGAGUGAACAGCACAUCUUCCUAAUUACAGUAUUUGAAUCUAGGUUUUUAAGUAUUUUUAAAAGUAAAUUACAAUUCAAUAGGUAACACAAUCUUAUUGCAGGUAAGACAAUUAAACAGUAUGUAUUUCUUAGCUGAGCUUCAUUCUCAAGAACUCACCAUAGCUACAACAGGUCCAGAAUGCAUGUACUGCACCAGACCAUCAUAGAAUGGCCGGUCUUUUAGGUCAAUGUAGUGUUCUCUCAGAAGGUCUUCAGAGGCCUGCAUUAAAAACCAACCAACCAACCAAAAAAAGCUUACUGUAAGAACUUAAGAGCAUACUGAAAUCACAUAGAUUAACCACAGAGCACUAUUAAUCCUAAAACUUGCACGCAAUUGAAAAUUCAGCAUUUCUAGCAUGUUCCUAGAGUACUUUUGGUUUAUAUGAAUUUGAACCGUUUGCUUUAACCACAGCUGAACUUAGAAAAGUAUCUUUUACCAAUAUAGACGGAUUAUGGGACCUGGCAUUUCUUGAAGAUAUUCAGAGAUGUUUAUUAGGUAUAAGAUGCACCUAAAAGAAUAUUCUCUUCAGACUAAGGACAUCAAGUUACUAAAAUUAGCAUGCUUAGCAUGUCUAAAGCAUUUAGCCAGAGCUGGAAAUUGGAACUUUUCCAAAAAUACCCCAAAUAUUCAAAGACUUCUCAAAAUUUGAGGUUUAAUUGUUCUGAAGACUACAUUUGUCAUUAUGGCGCGCUGCUCUAUUUCAAGGCUGCAGUCUAUAUGAAAAAGGAGAUGCACAAAUUAAGGAAAGCUUACAUGUAUUAAUUUCAUGGCGACCAGUUUGAAUCCUUUCUGUUCAAACCGCUUGAUGAUUUCUCCCACCAGUCCCCGCUGGACUCCGUCAGGCUUGAUGGCGAUGAACGUGCGCUCAGAGAUAGAAGCCAUCGUCCUAAGCGGGAAGGAAAUAAGAGUUGUUAUUCCAGGACCAGCAGGCAAGUACAAUCACAGGCCUGCAUCGCGUGUACUAGCAGCUAUUAUUUAAUUAAAGCGGCUACAUCUGAAGGUCAGUAACCCAUGA
Long non-coding RNA from Harpia harpyja (harpy eagle), 1555 nucleotides. RefSeq lists it as uncharacterized. NCBI's taxonomy places the organism in Eukaryota, Metazoa, Chordata, Aves, Accipitriformes, Accipitridae. The record is from RefSeq and is a predicted model, not a curated record. The transcript is spliced from 2 exons.